This 421-nucleotide ribosomal RNA is filed under the name uncultured bacterium. RNAcentral's name for it is "bacterial SSU rRNA". It matches the Rfam family "Bacterial small subunit ribosomal RNA", at positions 355 to 774 of the family's 1533-position model. The record is from RNAcentral.
UAAGGAAUAUUGGUCAAUGGACGCAAGUCUGAACCAGCCAUGCCGCGUGAAGGAUGAAGGUCCUCUGGAUUGUAAACUUCUUUUAUCUGGGACGAAAACGGGAUUUUUAUCUCAAUUGACGGUACCAGAGGAAUAAGCACCGGCUAACUCCGUGCCAGCAGCCGCGGUAAUACGGAGGGUGCGAGCGUUAUCCGGAUUUACUGGGUUUAAAGGGUGCGUAGGCGGGAUAAAAAGUCAGUGGUGAAAUCCUACAGCUUAACUGUAGAACUGCCUUUGAUACUUUUAUUCUUGAGUUCGGGAGAGAGAGACGGAAUUCCAGGUGUAGUGGUGAAAUACGUAGAUAUCUGGAAGAACACCAGUUGCGAAGGCGGUCUCUUGGUCCGACACUGACGCUGAGGCGCGAAAGCGUGGGGAGCAAACA